CGAGCGGCGAACGGGUGAGUAACACGUGAGUAACCUGCCCCUGACUCUGGGAUAAGCCCGGGAAACUGGGUCUAAUACCGGAUACGACACACGGUGGCAUCAUCGGUGUGUGGAAAGUUUUUUCGGUUGGGGAUGGACUCGCGGCCUAUCAGCUUGUUGGUGGGGUAAUGGCCUACCAAGGCGACGACGGGUAGCCGGCCUGAGAGGGCGACCGGCCACACUGGGACUGAGACACGGCCCAGACUCCUACGGGAGGCAGCAGUGGGGAAUAUUGCGCAAUGGGCGAAAGCCUGACGCAGCGACGCCGCGUGGGGGAUGACGGCCUUCGGGUUGUAAACCUCUUUCAGCAGGGACGAAGUUGACGUGUACCUGCAGAAGAAGCGCCGGCUAACUACGUGCCAGCAGCCGCGGUAAUACGUAGGGCGCAAGCGUUGUCCGGAAUUAUUGGGCGUAAAGAGCUCGUAGGUGGCUUGUCACGUCGGGUGUGAAAGCUUGGGGCUUAACUCCAGGUCUGCAUUCGAUACGGGCUGGCUAGAGGUAGGUAGGGGAGAACGGAAUUCCUGGUGUAGCGGUGAAAUGCGCAGAUAUCAGGAGGAACACCGGUGGCGAAGGCGGUUCUCUGGGCCUUACCUGACGCUGAGGAGCGAAAGCGUGGGGAGCGAACAGGAUUAGAUACCCUGGUAGUCCACGCUGUAAACGUU
This 701-nucleotide ribosomal RNA is filed under the name Streptomyces sp. Its description in RNAcentral is "bacterial SSU rRNA". It matches the Rfam family "Bacterial small subunit ribosomal RNA", at positions 92 to 810 of the family's 1533-position model. Lineage: Bacteria; Bacillati; Actinomycetota; Actinomycetes; Kitasatosporales; Streptomycetaceae. The record is from RNAcentral.